This 107-nucleotide small nuclear RNA is filed under the name Choloepus hoffmanni (Hoffmann's two-fingered sloth). Lineage: Eukaryota; Metazoa; Chordata; Mammalia; Pilosa; Megalonychidae. The record is from RNAcentral.
GUGCUUGCUCUGGCAGCACAUAUACUAAAAUUGGAAUGGUAUGGAGAAGAUGAGCAUGGCCUCUGCACAAGGAUGACAUACAAAUUUGUGAAGCAUUUCAUACUUUU